CCAGACUCCUACGGGAGGCAGCAGUGAGGAAUAUUGGUCAAUGGGAGAGAUCCUGAACCAGCCAAGUCGCGUGAGGGAAUAAGGCCCUACGGGUCGUAAACCUCUUUUGCCGGGGGACAAAAGGCCGGACUCGUCCGGUCCUGAGGGUACCCGGAGAAAAAGCAUCGGCUAACUCCGUGCCAGCAGCCGCGGUAAUACGGAGGAUGCGAGCGUUAUCCGGAUUCAUUGGGUUUAAAGGGUGCGCAGGCGGGCCUUGAGGCGGGGGGUGAACUCGGGGGGCCAACCCCCGCCGAGCCGUCGGAACUGGGGGCCUUGAGUGCGGCGGAGGCAUGCGGAAUGCGCGGUGUAGCGGUGAAAUGCAUAGAUAUCGCGCAGAACCCCGAUUGCGAAGGCAGCGUGCCGUGCCGCCACUGACGCUGAGGCACGAAAGCGCGGGGAUCGAACAGGAUUAGAUACCCCAGUAGCC
This 466-nucleotide ribosomal RNA is filed under the name uncultured bacterium. Its description in RNAcentral is "partial 16S ribosomal RNA". It matches the Rfam family "Bacterial small subunit ribosomal RNA", at positions 331 to 795 of the family's 1533-position model. The record is from RNAcentral.